UUUAAUUGAAGCCAAAUAAGAGGCAAUUUAUUGUUAAUAAAAAAAUUGAAUUAUAUUCCAAUUAA
Molecule: transfer RNA, 65 nt
Filed under: Peuceptyelus minutus
Lineage: Eukaryota; Metazoa; Arthropoda; Insecta; Hemiptera; Aphrophoridae
Description: tRNA-Asn
Source: RNAcentral